GUGAGGAAUAUUGGUCAAUGGGCGAGAGCCUGAACCAGCCAAGUCGCGUGAAGGAAGAAGGAUCUAUGGUUCGUAAACUUCUUUUGCAGGGGAAUAAAGUGCAGGACGUGUCCUGUUUUGUAUGUACCCUGAGAAUAAGGAUCGGCUAACUCCGUGCCAGCAGCCGCGGUAAUACGGAGGAUCCGAGCGUUAUCCGGAUUUAUUGGGUUUAAAGGGUGCGUAGGUGGUUUGAUAAGUCAGCGGUGAAAGUUUGGAGCUUAACUGUAGAAAUGCCGUUGAAACUGUCGGACUUGAGUGUAAAUGAGGUAGGCGGAAUGCGUGGUGUAGCGGUGAAAUGCAUAGAUAUCACGCAGAACUCCGAUUGCGAAGGCAGCUUACUAAGCUACAACUGACACUGAAGCACGAAAGCGUGGGGAUCAAACAGGAUUAGAUACCCGUGUAGUCC
Molecule: ribosomal RNA, 445 nt
Filed under: uncultured bacterium
Lineage: Bacteria
Description: partial 16S ribosomal RNA
Rfam family: Bacterial small subunit ribosomal RNA
Source: RNAcentral